This 354-nucleotide ribosomal RNA is filed under the name uncultured Pelotomaculum sp. Its description in RNAcentral is "bacterial SSU rRNA". It matches the Rfam family "Bacterial small subunit ribosomal RNA", at positions 1027 to 1382 of the family's 1533-position model. The record is from RNAcentral. Lineage: Bacteria; Bacillati; Bacillota; Clostridia; Eubacteriales; Desulfotomaculaceae.
CAGGGAGACAGGUGGUGCAUGGUUGUCGUCAGCUCGUGUCGUGAGAUGUUGGUUAAGUCCCGCAACGAGCGCAACCCCUACGUUUAGUUGCUAACGCGUGAAGGCGAGCACUCUAGACGAACUGCCGUUGACAAAACGGAGGAAGGUGGGAUGACGUCAAAUCAUCAUGCCCCUUAUGUUCUGGGCUACACACGUGCUACAAUGGCCGGUACAGACGGACGCAAAGCCGCGAGGCGGAGCAAAUCCGAAAAAGCCGGUCUCAGUUCGGAUUGCAGGCUGCAAUUCGCCUGCAUGAAGUCGGAAUCGCUAGUAAUCGCAGGUCAGCAUACUGCGGUGAAUACGUUCCCGGGCCUU